RNAcentral lists this unclassified non-coding RNA (300 nucleotides) under Tolypocladium sp. Its description in RNAcentral is "partial contains 5.8S ribosomal RNA, internal transcribed spacer 2, and large subunit ribosomal RNA". The stretch from base 1 to 71 matches the Rfam family "5.8S ribosomal RNA", at positions 84 to 154 of the family's 154-position model. The record is from RNAcentral. Lineage: Eukaryota; Fungi; Ascomycota; Sordariomycetes; Hypocreales; Ophiocordycipitaceae.
GUGAGUCAUCGAAUCUUUGAACGCACAUUGCGCCCGCCAGCAUUCUGGCGGGCAUGCCUGUCCGAGCGUCAUUUCAACCCUCAGGGAGCCCCUUCGCGGGGGGGACCUGGUGUUGGGGGCCGGCCGCCCGCGCCGCCCCCGAAAUGCAGUGGCGACCUCGCCGCAGCCUCCCCUGCGUAGUAGCACAACCUCGCACCGGAGCGCGGAGACGGUCACGCCGUAAAACGCCCAACUUUCAAGAGUUGACCUCGGAUCAGGUAGGAAUACCCGCUGAACUUAAGCAUAUCAAUAAGCGGAGGA